This 503-nucleotide ribosomal RNA is filed under the name uncultured bacterium. Its description in RNAcentral is "partial 16S ribosomal RNA". It matches the Rfam family "Bacterial small subunit ribosomal RNA", at positions 30 to 523 of the family's 1533-position model. The record is from RNAcentral.
AUUGAACGCUGGCGGCAGGCUUAACACAUGCAAGUCGAGCGGGGUGAUGGUGCUUGCACUAUCACUUAGCGGCGGACGGGUGAGUAAUGCUUAGGAAUCUGCCUAUUAGUGGGGGACAACAUCUCGAAAGGGAUGCUAAUACCGCAUACGUCCUACGGGAGAAAGCAGGGGAUCACUUGUGACCUUGCGCUAAUAGAUGAGCCUAAGUCGGAUUAGCUAGUUGGUGGGGUAAGGGCCUACCAAGGCGACGAUCUGUAGCGGGUCUGAGAGGAUGAUCCGCAAGACUGGGACUGAGAAACGGCCCAGACUCCUACGGGAGGCAGCAGUGGGGAAUAUUGGACAAUGGGGGGAACCCUGAUCCAGCCAUGCCGCGUGUGUGAAGAAGGCCUUAUGGUUGUAAAGCACUUUAAGCGAGGAGGAGGCUCUUUUGGUUAAUACCCAAGAUGAGUGGACGUUACUCGCAGAAUAAGCACCGGCUAACUCUGUGCCAGCAGCCGCCGUAA